This 372-nucleotide ribosomal RNA is filed under the name uncultured eukaryote. Its description in RNAcentral is "partial 18S ribosomal RNA". It matches the Rfam family "Eukaryotic small subunit ribosomal RNA", at positions 592 to 976 of the family's 1831-position model. The record is from RNAcentral.
CAAUAGCGUAUAUUAAAGUUGUUGCAGUUAAAAAGCUCGUAGUUGGAUUUCUGGGAGGGUGCCGCCGUCCGGCGUGUCCGUGUGCAGUGGCGCCCUUCCAUCCUUCUGUUAGCGUCUCUUGGCAUUCAUUUGCUGGUGGCGGGCUCAGAUAUUUUACCUUGAGAAAAUUAGAGUGUUUCAGGCAGGCUAGGCCGGAAUACAUUAGCAUGGAAUAAUGGAAUAGGACUACGGUCUCUUUGUUGGUUUGAGGGACUGCAGUAAUGAUUAAUAGGAAUAGUUGGGGGCAUUAGUAUUUAAUUGUCAGAGGUGGAAUUCUCAGAUUUGUUAAAGACUAACUUAUGCGAAAGCAUUUGCCAAGGAUGUUUUCAUUAA